This 253-nucleotide ribosomal RNA is filed under the name uncultured bacterium. RNAcentral's name for it is "partial 16S ribosomal RNA". It matches the Rfam family "Bacterial small subunit ribosomal RNA", at positions 524 to 776 of the family's 1533-position model. The record is from RNAcentral.
UACGUAGGGGGCAAGCGUUGUCCGGAUUUAUUGGGCGUAAAGAGCGUGUAGGCGGCCAUACAGGUCCGUUGUGAAAACUGGAGGCUUAACCUCCAGACGUCGAUGGAAACCGUAUGGCUAGAGUCCGGAAGAGGAGAGUGGAAUUCCUGGUGUAGCGGUGAAAUGCGUAGAUAUCUGGAGGAACACCGGAGGCGAAGGCGAAUCACUGGACCGCUUCUGACGCUGAGGCGCGAAAGCUAGGGGAGCAAACAGG